RNAcentral lists this transfer RNA (82 nucleotides) under Arcanobacterium sp. S3PF19. It matches the Rfam family "tRNA". Rfam says of the family: Transfer RNA (tRNA) molecules are approximately 80 nucleotides in length. Their secondary structure includes four short double-helical elements and three loops (D, anti-codon, and T loops). Lineage: Bacteria; Bacillati; Actinomycetota; Actinomycetes; Actinomycetales; Actinomycetaceae. The record is from Rfam by way of RNAcentral.
GCGCGGGUGGCGAAAUUGGCAGACGCGCCGGAUUUAGGUUCCGGUGCCUUCGGGCGUGGGGGUUCAAGUCCCCCCUCGCGCA